RNAcentral lists this ribosomal RNA (669 nucleotides) under uncultured archaeon. Its description in RNAcentral is "bacterial SSU rRNA". It matches the Rfam family "Archaeal small subunit ribosomal RNA", at positions 327 to 1000 of the family's 1478-position model. The record is from RNAcentral.
GGGGUGCAGCAGGCGCGCAAACUUUACAAUGCGAGCAAUCGUGAUAAGGAAACCCUGAGUGCCUGUCGAUGCAGGCUGUUCAUAUAUCUAAAUCAUAUGUGAAGAAAGGGCAGGGCAAGACCGGUGCCAGCCGCCGCGGUAAUACCGGCUGCUCGAGUGAUGGCCACUAUUACUGGGUUUAAAGCGUCCGUAGCUUGACUGUNANGUCUCUUGGGAAAUCUUCACGCUCAACGUGAAGGCGUCUAAGAGAUACCGGCAGUCUUGGAACUGGGAGAGGUAAACCGUACUUCGGGGGNANGAGUGAAAUCUUGUAAUCCUCGAGGGACGACCUAUGGCGAAGGCAGUUUACCAGAACAGCUUCGACAGUGAGGGACGAAAGCUGGGGGAGCAAACGGGAUUAGAUACCCCGGUAGUCCCAGCCGUAAACAAUGUGCGUUANGUGUGUCGGUAACCACGUGUUACUGAUGCGCCGAAGAGAAAUCNNGAAACGCACCACCUGGGAAGUACGGUCGCAAGGCUGAAACUUAAAGGAAUUGGCGGGGGAGCACCNCNACAGGUGGAGCCUGCGGUUUAAUUGGAUUCNACGCCGGACAUCUCACCGGAUAAGACAGCUGAAUGAUUGNCAAUCUGAAGGUUUUACAUGACUAGCUGANAAGANGUGCAUGGCCA